CACGCCCCCACACUGUUUCCACUCCAUUGCUAGGAGAGGCUGUCUAGAACUGGAGAGUUUUGAGAAGCUGUUGGUGGAGGAGUCGUUUUUUUACAUAUCACCUCCUGUGCCCCAAAUCUUUCCCAGAAUCUAGGGGAAUAGAGGACAAGGCAGUUUUGUUGUUGUUGUUUGUUUGUUUGUUUUGAGGAGCAUUCUUCUUUUACUGGAUAUAAAAGUAAUACAUCUGACAAUGCCUGGUAAGGAUAUGGAGACAUAGGAUCUCUUACACAUUGCUGAUGGGACUAUGUAUUGAUUAAUGCAACAACUUUGGGAAAACACUUUCUUUUUAUUAUUAAUUGACAAAUCAUAAUCGUAUGUAUUUAUGGGGUAUGAUACGAUGUUCUGAUAUAUGUAUACAAUGUGAGAUGAUUAAAUCAAGUAAAUUAAUAUAUCCAGCACUUCAAACACUUUUUUAAUGGUGAAAAUGACACUGCCAUUACAAAAUUAUAACUGAAACAGGGAAAGAUAUCUGACCUAAACAACUCCAUCUUGCCUCUAACCUCCAAGCUGUCCCUGUUCAUUCCUCGGCAUAGGCCAAACUAACUUUGGGAGGAAUUUAGUUUAUAGUUUAAAACAAAAAUGACAACAGCCCUUUCCCAAAACAAACCUCUUUCUUGCAUGGGGUCUAGACUGCCUUUGUAGGACUAACAAAUUAGUCAAAAGAUUAGAAAUUAUGGUUUAGGAGUCAUGCUGCUGGAGGCUACAAGAUUCUGAGCCCUCCCCACAUUGCUCCUGGGGAUAAAAUUACUAUCGUAAAACCUACGACCACUGCUUGAGAUAUUUUGCAGACCCCGCACCUGAUGAAUCAGCUGGCACCACCCAGAUUGAAAAACUGGCUCAUCUGAUCUUGUGGCCCCCUACCCAGGAACUGACUCAGCGCAAGAGGACAGCUUCGACUGCCUGUGACUUCAUCUCCAACCCAGCCAAUCAGCACUCCCAAAUCACUGCCCCCACCCACCAAAUUAUCCUUAAAAAUUCGGAUCCCCCUUGGGGAUACUGAUUUGAGUAAUAAUAAAACUCUG
This 1061-nucleotide long non-coding RNA is filed under the name Homo sapiens (human). RNAcentral describes it as "long non-coding RNA NONHSAT150160.1". Lineage: Eukaryota; Metazoa; Chordata; Mammalia; Primates; Hominidae. The record is from RNAcentral.